UCGGGGUACACGAGUGGCGAACGGGUGAGUAACACGUGGGUAAUCUGCCCUGCACAUCGGGAUAAGCCUGGGAAACUGGGUCUAAUACCGAAUAGGACCACAGAACACAUGUCCUGUGGUGGAAAGCUUUUGCGGUGUGGGAUGGGCCCGCGGCCUAUCAGCUUGUUGGUGGGGUGAUGGCCCACCAAGGCGACGACGGGUAGCCGGCCUGAGAGGGUGUCCGGCCACACUGGGACUGAGAUACGGCCCAGACUCCUACGGGAGGCAGCAGUGGGGAAUAUUGCACAAUGGGCGAAAGCCUGAUGCAGCGACGCCGCGUGGGGGAUGACGGCCUUCGGGUUGUAAACCUCUUUCACCAUCGACGAAGGUUCGGGUUUUCUCGGAUUGACGGUAGGUGGAGAAGAAGCACCGGCCAACUACGUGCCAGCAGCCGCGGUAAUACGUAGGGUGCGAGCGUUGUCCGGAAUUACUGGGCGUAAAGAGCUCGUAGGUGGUUUGUCGCGUUGUUCGUGAAAUCUCACGGCUUAACUGUGAGCGUGCGGGCGAUACGGGCAGACUUGAGUACUGCAGGGGAGACUGGAAUUCCUGGUGUAGCGGUGGAAUGCGCAGAUAUCAGGAGGAACACCGGUGGCGAAGGCGGGUCUCUGGGCAGUAACUGACGCUGAGGAGCGAAAGCGUGGGGAGCGAACAGGAUUAGAUACCCUGGUAGUCCACGCCGUAAACGGUGGGUACUAGGUGUGGGUUUCCUUCCUUGGGAUCCGUGCCGUAGCUAACGCAUUAAGUACCCCGCCUGGGGAGUACGGCCGCAAGGCUAAAACUCAAAGAAAUUGACGGGGGCCCGCACAAGCGGCGGAGCAUGUGGAUUAAUUCGAUGCAACGCGAAGAACCUUACCUGGGUUUGACAUGCACAGGACGCCGGCAGAGAUGUCGGUUCCCUUGUGGCCUGUGUGCAGGUGGUGCAUGGCUGUCGUCAGCUCGUGUCGUGAGAUGUUGGGUUAAGUCCCGCAACGAGCGCAACCCUUGUCUCAUGUUGCCAGCGGGUAAUGCCGGGGACUCGUGAGAGACUGCCGGGGUCAACUCGGAGGAAGGUGGGGAUGACGUCAAGUCAUCAUGCCCCUUAUGUCCAGGGCUUCACACAUGCUACAAUGGCCGGUACAAAGGGCUGCGAUGCCGCGAGGUUAAGCGAAUCCUUUUAAAGCCGGUCUCAGUUCGGAUCGGGGUCUGCAACUCGACCCCGUGAAGUCGGAGUCGCUAGUAAUCGCAGAUCAGCAACGCUGCGGUGAAUACGUUCCCGGGCCUUGUACACACCGCCCGUCACGUCAUGAAAGUCGGUAACACCCGAAGCC
This 1346-nucleotide ribosomal RNA is filed under the name Mycobacterium sp. DWMJ-1748B1. RNAcentral describes it as "bacterial SSU rRNA". It matches the Rfam family "Bacterial small subunit ribosomal RNA", at positions 82 to 1428 of the family's 1533-position model. The record is from RNAcentral. Lineage: Bacteria; Bacillati; Actinomycetota; Actinomycetes; Mycobacteriales; Mycobacteriaceae.